CUACCAGAGUGCAGAGGAUGCUGAAGAUUGUCCUCCCCAAUGUGUCACCAGUGUUACCACGCUGUUGGAGGCUUUGGGCUGUCACCCGUCCUCUGAGAUGGAUUUCAGACACAGUAAAGAAGGCUGCUUGUCCCUUGCGUGGCUUAUUAUAGUCUUGAUUGAUUGAAUGACAUUGAAUUGUCAUCUGCUGUCUGAGCUGGCCUUACUGCUCCAGUGGCUCACCACUUAGGCAUCCAGAAAUUUUGAGUGAAGAUUGCAUUAAAAGACCACUACAGAGCACUACAAUUUCCCUUAGCUGGAAAACAAAUUUCCUGGAAAGCUUUGUGAUGGCAAGAAGAAUAAUCUGAUGUUACCACCAUUUCUCGUUGAUUCUUUGGCUGGUUUUCUGUCCUGCCGUGUUGCU
Molecule: long non-coding RNA, 403 nt
Organism: Hirundo rustica (Barn swallow)
Lineage: Eukaryota; Metazoa; Chordata; Aves; Passeriformes; Hirundinidae
Exons: 3
Source: RefSeq, a predicted model, not a curated record